CAAAGGUGAGUGAGUCCCAGACUCUGGCUGGCAGAAGGAGUAGACAUUUUGAAAAGAAAUUUCAAGUGUGGAAGAAGCUAACUGCUGAAUUUAAGAGGAUUACAACCAUCAGUUUGCUGUCAAAGUUCUUCUCCCAGCUGGAUGCUCAUUCUUCAAACUUGAUGAGGGUGUUUGGCAAGAAAGGCGGCGUUCAAGGAAGAAAGAUAAGGAGCAUCAUGAUACCCAUCACCAAGACUGACGCCAUUGAUGUCAAAAGAGAGUGAAUCAUCAAAGCCCGGUGUGUGUACCUGAAUGAAGAGCCCGAGAACCUUGUGAAAGAAUACAUGAACACAGAUUGUGGGAGCAGUGAAGCUGCAGUGAUGGAGACGACAUUUGGAAUAUUUGUCAUUCGCAAGGAAGGUGCAGAGCCAGGUGAUGGACCGGAAGAUGUAGGUAUAGUUCUGGAUGGGCUCGGAAACGUGCCACUUGCUGUGGUCAUGUUGUUUGCGCUUGUAUAUGCGCUUAACCUCAGCUACCCGCCAGAGCUCAGAUACACCUUUGAAGCUUUGCAGAAGAUCAUCGUGGAGCUUGAUGGAAACAUACUCUCAAAAAAAACUCAAACACUGAAAACUCUACUUGCGUGUUAGUCACCCUCAAUAGAGUAAACUACAGGUUUGGAGUUACUCUAAUGGGAAGGCAUUUGAAGCCAUUUGAGUAGUUACUGAACUGAAAGCU
Cyprinodon tularosa is the source of this 714-nucleotide long non-coding RNA. RefSeq lists it as uncharacterized. The record is from RefSeq and is a predicted model, not a curated record. Lineage: Eukaryota; Metazoa; Chordata; Actinopteri; Cyprinodontiformes; Cyprinodontidae. The transcript has 4 exons.